UGCCUCAGGAUGAACGCUAGCGGCAGGCUUAACACAUGCAAGUCGAGGGGUAUGGUUCUUCGGAACCAGAGACCGGCGCACGGGUGCGUAACGCGUAUGCAAUCUACCUUUUACAGAGGGAUAGCCCAGAGAAAUUUGGAUUAAUACCUCAUAGUAUAGCAGUUUCGCAUGAAACCACUAUUAAAGUCACAACGGUAAAAGAUGAGCAUGCGUCCCAUUAGCUAGUUGGUAAGGUAACGGCUUACCAAGGCUACGAUGGGUAGGGGUCCUGAGAGGGAGAUCCCCCACACUGGUACUGAGACACGGACCAGACUCCUACGGGAGGCAGCAGUGAGGAAUAUUGGACAAUGGGCGCAAGCCUGAUCCAGCCAUGCCGCGUGCAGGAUGACGGUCCUAUGGAUUGUAAACUGCUUUUAUACAGGAAGAAACCCUGGUUCGUGAACCAGCUUGACGGUACUGUAAGAAUAAGGAUC
Molecule: ribosomal RNA, 473 nt
Filed under: Flavobacterium sp. WB4.4-78
Lineage: Bacteria; Pseudomonadati; Bacteroidota; Flavobacteriia; Flavobacteriales; Flavobacteriaceae
Description: bacterial SSU rRNA
Rfam family: Bacterial small subunit ribosomal RNA
Source: RNAcentral